GAUGAAGAACGUAGCGAAAUGCGAUAAGUAAUGCGAAUUGCAGAAUUCAGUGAAUCAUCGAAUCUUUGAACGCACAUUGCGCCCGCUAGUAUUCUGGCGGGCAUGCCUGUUCGAGCGUCAUUUCAACCAUCAAGCCCCCGGCUUGUGUUGGGGACCUGCGGCUGCCGCAGGCCCUGAAAAGCAGUGGCGGGCUCGCUGUCACACCGAGCGUAGUAGCAUACAUCUCGCUCUGGGCGUGCUGCGGGUUCCGGCCGUUAAACCACCUUCAUAACCCAAGGUUGACCUCGGAUCAGGUAGGAAGACCCGCUGAACUUAAGCAUAUCAAUAAGCGGAGGA
RNAcentral lists this unclassified non-coding RNA (336 nucleotides) under soil metagenome. Its description in RNAcentral is "partial contains 5.8S ribosomal RNA, internal transcribed spacer 2, and large subunit ribosomal RNA". The stretch from base 1 to 120 matches the Rfam family "5.8S ribosomal RNA", at positions 35 to 154 of the family's 154-position model. The record is from RNAcentral.